RNAcentral lists this long non-coding RNA (1010 nucleotides) under Vulpes vulpes (red fox). Its description in RNAcentral is "lncRNA (ENSVVUG00000007704.1)". Lineage: Eukaryota; Metazoa; Chordata; Mammalia; Carnivora; Canidae. The record is from RNAcentral.
CUCACCUCAAAUAGUUAAACUUAGAGAUGUUAGAAAACAAAAACAAAAACCCAGCAGCAGCAUAAAGACCUAGAAUUUGGAUGAUGAGUUAAGUCUGAGUAACAGCUGCUUUCCUGUUCUAGACUCACUACAGGAAAUGCCAGCAUAAAACAAACAUAGAAACAUACAAAUUAGAUGCAAAGCCAUAUGGUAUUGGGUCGUAAGUGCCACUGCUACGUGACUCAGCCAAAAGUGAACAAGGGCUUUAUGCUUUUCUGUCAUGCCCCAUCAAAUUAUGUCACGUGCCCACAAACAAAAUAGCAACAUGCCUAUACCUAUAAACAGAGUUAUAGAUGUAUAAGGAGAGGCAGUCAUUUGACAGAAUUUGAGAGCCCAGGGUCAACCAUAGGUGCACAGUACCUGAGCCAGGGCCACACCUACUCAAAGACAAUUCUCAGCACCUCCUAUGGCUUCCCUCUAUCCAUCCAUGCAAAGAUGCAGAAGAUAUGGGCCUAGGGGACUCAAAGAACACUGGAAAAUUCUAGGAGCCUCCAUUCCCGACCAGUUUGAAGAACACAGUUCCCAAUGCUUUUACACUUCGACAAUGCUCUUUCUCCUAUGAAGAACUCAGGAAAUAACGAGAGCUUUUAUUGUUUUAGGCAAGAAGUUGGCCAACAAAGAAAACUUUAUAAAACAGAAAAAGGAGUGAUUUACCCAAAUGGGUAUAAGAAAGCCCUGGACCCAGGCCAAAAUAAGAAAUGUCGAGCUACCCCGAAAUGACUUGGCUAGUCAGGAAGGUACAAGUUCCACUGACUCUGCACCUAGAGCAUAGCCACACCUGGCUGUGAAGGAGGCAACUCAGCACCACACCCCAGCUGCCAGAGGCACAUUGCUGAGUCUUGGUAUUUCAUGUGAAAAUUCCAAGAAAAGUCAUCUUCAGUUCACUCUGAUGUCAAAAAUCAUUUCCUACAAGGCUGAGUAGCCAAUUAGAGUUCAGAAAUAAAUUUAAAAAUUAUAUAAAUAAAAAGGCA